GAUGAACGCUGGCGGCGUGCUUAACACAUGCAAGUCUAACGGACAGUCUCUGCUUUUGUGGGUUGCUCGAGUGGCGAACGGGUGAGUAACACGUGAGUAACCUUCCCUUGACUUUGUGCUAACUUCACGAAACUGGUGCUAAUACCGGAUAUCAGCUCCUGCUGCAUUGUGGGGGUUGGAAAGUUUCCGCGGUUGGGGAUGGUCUCGCGGCUUAUCAGCUUCUUGGUGGGGUAGUGGCUUACCAAGGCUUCGACGGGUAGCCGGCCUGAGAGGGUGACCGGCCACAUUGGGACUGAGGUACGGCCCAGACUCGUACGGGGGGCAGCAGUGGGGAAUAUUGCACAAGGGGCGGAAGACUGAUGCAGCAACGCCGCGUGCGGGAUGACGGCCUUCGGGUUGUAAACCGCUUUCGCCUGUGACGAAGCGUGAGUGACGGUAAUGGGUAAAGAAGCACCGGCUAACUACGUG
Molecule: ribosomal RNA, 468 nt
Filed under: uncultured bacterium
Lineage: Bacteria
Description: partial 16S ribosomal RNA
Rfam family: Bacterial small subunit ribosomal RNA
Source: RNAcentral